This is a long non-coding RNA of Hippocampus zosterae (dwarf seahorse), 1531 nucleotides long. RefSeq lists it as uncharacterized. The transcript has 7 exons. The record is from RefSeq and is a predicted model, not a curated record. NCBI's taxonomy places the organism in Eukaryota, Metazoa, Chordata, Actinopteri, Syngnathiformes, Syngnathidae.
CUCCUGCAUGGGGGGACCAAAAAAAAAAAAAGCACUUUGUAUUAUGAAUUUAUAGGAUGUGUAUGUUUUGGCUGGUGAGUCGCUUGCUUAUGAAAAUAUGUGGCCAUGGAUGUAAACAUAACUGAAUAACCAGCAUCCUUAUGUGACCAUAUUGAGCAGAACAUUGCAACUUUGCAGCUGAAAUGCACACAUUGUCCAGACCAGAGUCCAAAAUGCAUCCCUGUCAUUUUUCUUGUAUCUCCAGAUGAUAAAUCUCCAACUCUUACCCUUUUCUUUGCUUAUUUGUGUCAGGAGUGGAGGACCCCCCCCCCCCCCCCCACCACCACACACACACACCCACGCUUAAAAAAAAUGUGUGUCGUCUCCCUCAAAACGGCACGAUGGACAACAAGCAGAGCCGAACGCGCCUGUUGUCUUCUUCCCGCUGCUCUUCAAAGCGCCGAACCUAAAAGACAAGAAUCACGCAUCAGUCCCAUUACUGCCAUCAGGGCGGACCGGCGGAGCAUUCAAAAGACGGCAUUAUAAAAUCAGCGGAUUUCUGCCACUGGCCUCCUUAAAGCCGCGAGAUAAUGAGCAAUCAUCAUAAAGCAAGAGGACGGAAAUACUCCAUUCUUCUCCCGCUGUCAACUUUUUGAUCAGCGCAUCCGCGUCGGAGCGCGUUGGCAGAAUUGGGCUUAAUAACAACCUGACAGAGUCGCCCCCCCCCUGCUCGCACAAAAGGGACGUGUCAUUUCAUCAACCUGCCGUGACCCCUGCCAGUGGCUAAACAGCGCCUGGAAAAUAAGGGGAAAGAAGCCCGAAGGUGUUUGUGCGACCAGUGACCGCUCGUUGGAAGCGUUCGGAACUUGACGAAGGUUUCCCGGCUUAAGCUGAAGAGAAAGAUUGUCAAAGCAGGAUGCCGUUGCCGCCAAGCUUCACUGUAGGAAACCGGAAUACCCGCAGAAAACCCACACAGGCACGGAGGAGGCCAUGGAAACUCCACACAGGGAGGCCGCAGCUGGGAUCCAACCCUUGCACCUCUGCACUGUGAGGCCGACACGCGAACAAGUCGACCGCCAAGCGUCGUGGGUGAGACAAUAAUACCCGAAUACCGUUUUGGACAAAAUGGCAGCAAAAGGAUCCAGAUGAAGUGGUUAUCGCAAUUGGAGUGUGAUUGAUUGACGGACAGCUCAUCAUGUUAUCAGGUGACAAGACAUUUUGUACCAUCGGGGGGUCUGUUGGACGUGGCCACCACCACCACUCCGGUCUUAAACAACGUCUGGAAAAGCUGCCUCAGGAUCACUGCAUCGGCGAUGUCCGUGACCUAAUGAUAUCAUCAAAGGUCAAGAAGAUCACAUAUUGAUUGACGUCGGUCCGAGCAAGUCAUCGACACUCCACGUUGAUUAGUGUCAUUCAGGAGGCAGGUUUCACGGGAGAUCUCCACGGCAACCGGCGAUAUGGGGUCAUAGGUGAACAUGGUGCCCAGCUUUCGUCUCGGCAGGCUCCGUUUCCUCCGGUGGAUCCCUUUGAAGCAGCGCACAGAAACUGUCAG